CUGGUUAAGCUUCACUUCGGACAAAAAUCAACUUGGCAAAUUUAGCACCAGUGGCUUCAACAUGGCGCCGAAACUACAAAUUCAGGUUGAGUAUUGCAGCGGAUGAGGGUACGAGAAACGCUUCAAAGGGCUGAUGGACGCCAUCCAUGCAGCCCUCCCUGAAGCGUCUGUGGAAGGCAAAGUUGGCCAAAAAACAUCCUUCGAGAUAACUCUCAACGGCCAUCUUUUGUUUUCCAAGUUGAGCUCUGGCGGUUUCCCUAUCAAAAAAGAGAUCAUUCUGGCUAUCCAAGACUACAGUGGCGAAGGUGACGUGACUCGGAUUACAAGCACCGCACCAAAAAGCACCUGUAACCUACUUUAAUAAAAAAUAAAUUUUCCAAAUAACCCUAUCAGGACCUUGGGGCACCAUGUCAACCCAAAAUUUACGGUCCUGAUGAUGAUGUAAACGCACAAAGCGCAAACAAGCAGGCAACUUUCAAUACUGUAAUUAACUUAUUGGAGCACACGUUAUUCCAGUUUAUUUUGAGACGAUAAUACAAAUUUUUGUGACGUCAUCAUCUGGCACUCGAAUUUGCUGUAAUACACAAAGUGAAAUAUUUGCAAAUGACACACUCUGUGAUACAGUCUUGGCCCAAGACGCUAGUGAUCGAUAACUUGGAAACCAGCCUGCCUGCUCGGAGUGCUCGCACUAUAUAACGUCUUGGGAAAUCGAACCCACAACCUGACGAUCAUGUACUCCACCGCUAGUGAUACCCCCUUCUAUUCGAAGAUAUAUUUACAUGCAUGCAUAAUUUACAAGCUACAAUAUUCCCAAGACGUUAGUGCGAGAAAGUAAAAAAAAGAAAUACAAUUGUGCAAGGGCGCUCUACAAACUUAACAAUGCAACCAUCGCUGUCGAUCAGUGACGUUUU
Patiria miniata (bat star) is the source of this 911-nucleotide long non-coding RNA. RefSeq lists it as uncharacterized. Lineage: Eukaryota; Metazoa; Echinodermata; Asteroidea; Valvatida; Asterinidae. The record is from RefSeq and is a predicted model, not a curated record. The transcript is spliced from 4 exons.